RNAcentral lists this ribosomal RNA (492 nucleotides) under uncultured bacterium. Its description in RNAcentral is "partial 16S ribosomal RNA". It matches the Rfam family "Bacterial small subunit ribosomal RNA", at positions 29 to 507 of the family's 1533-position model. The record is from RNAcentral.
AGUGAACGCUGGCGGUAGGCCUAACACAUGCAAGUCGAACGGCAGCACAGUAAGAGCUUGCUCUUACGGGUGGCGAGUGGCGGACGGGUGAGGAAUACAUCGGAAUCUACUUUUUCGUGGGGGAUAACGUAGGGAAACUUACGCUAAUACCGCAUACGACCUACGGGUGAAAGCAGGGGAUCUUCGGACCUUGCGCGAUUGAAUGAGCCGAUGUCGGAUUAGCUAGUUGGCGGGGUAAAGGCCCACCAAGGCGACGAUCCGUAGCUGGUCUGAGAGGAUGAUCAGCCACACUGGAAGUGAGACACGGUCCAGACUCCGACGGGAGGCAGCAGUGGGGAAUAUUGGACGAUGGGCGCAAGCCUGAUCCAGCCAUACCGCGUGGGUGAAGAAGGCCUUCGGGUUGUAAAGCCCUUUUGUUGGGAAAGAAAAGCAGCAGGUUAAUACCCCGCUGUUCUGACGGUACCCAAAGAAUAAGCACCGGCUAACUUCGUG